CUGAAUGUGGGUUGGUAUCAUUCAGUCCACUGAGAACCUGAAUAAAAACCAAAGGCAGAGAAAGGGUGAGUUUGUUUUCUCUGCUUGAGCUGAGACAUCCAUCCUCUCCUGCCCUUGAGACAUCAGAGUUCCAGGUUCUUGAGCCUUCAGACUCAAACUGGGAUGCACAUCAUUGUUCUCCUGGUUCUCAGGACUUUGGACUUGCACUGGAAUUACACCCCAGCUUUCCUGAUUCUACAGUUUGAAGAUGGUAGAUUGUGGGACUUCUCAGACUCCAUAAUGAGUGCACCAAGAACCUGGACAACUCACAGUCAAGCAUUUCCAUCCCGUAACAGUUGGAGAAUAAGCCUGAGUGACGGGCCUUCCAUUUAGCAGGUGAAUCUCAGCUGCUACGUAAAUCGUCAAAGCCAGAACUUGGAAUGUGAAUAUAGCCAUGAGAGUGCCUCAGCAAGGAGCCAUUA
Molecule: long non-coding RNA, 461 nt
Filed under: Homo sapiens (human)
Lineage: Eukaryota; Metazoa; Chordata; Mammalia; Primates; Hominidae
Description: HSALNT0228228
Source: RNAcentral